RNAcentral lists this transfer RNA (73 nucleotides) under Bos taurus (domestic cattle). It matches the Rfam family "tRNA". Rfam says of the family: Transfer RNA (tRNA) molecules are approximately 80 nucleotides in length. Their secondary structure includes four short double-helical elements and three loops (D, anti-codon, and T loops). The record is from Rfam by way of RNAcentral. Lineage: Eukaryota; Metazoa; Chordata; Mammalia; Artiodactyla; Bovidae.
UCCCUGGGGGUCCAGUGGUUCAGACUCUGAGCUUCCAGUGCAAGGGGCCCAGGUUCAAUCCCUGGUCAGGGAA